GAUGAACGCUGGCGGCGUGCCUAAUACAUGCAAGUCGAGCGAACAGACUUGGAGCUUGUUCCUCUUACGUUAGCGGCGGACGGGUGAGUAACGCGUGGAUAACCUACCUAUAAGACUGGGAUAACUUCGGGAAACCAGUGCUAAUACCGCAUAAUAUAUUUAACCGCAUGUUUCAAUAGUGAAAGAUGCUUUUGCUGUACUUAAUAGUUGUAGCCGGGCCUCAUUAGCUAGUUGGUAAGGUAACGGCAUACCAAGGCAACGUUGCGUAGCCGACCUGAGAGGGUGAUCGGCCACACUGGAACUGAGACACGGUCCAGACUCCUACGGGAGGCAGAAGUAGGGAAUAUUGGGCAAUGGGCGAAAGCUUGACGGAGAAACGCCGCGUGAGUGAUAAAGGUCUUCGGAUCGUAAAACCCUGUUAUUGGGAAAGAAAAAAUGGGGAAUUAAAUACGCACGUAGUGACGGUACCUAAUCAGAAAGCCACGGCUAACUACGUG
Molecule: ribosomal RNA, 497 nt
Filed under: uncultured bacterium
Lineage: Bacteria
Description: partial 16S ribosomal RNA
Rfam family: Bacterial small subunit ribosomal RNA
Source: RNAcentral